Molecule: long non-coding RNA, 985 nt
Organism: Nicotiana tabacum (common tobacco)
Lineage: Eukaryota; Viridiplantae; Streptophyta; Magnoliopsida; Solanales; Solanaceae
Source: RefSeq, a predicted model, not a curated record
CAAAAAUAAAAAUAAUUCCAGUAGCUAACAUCCCUUUUGAUUUUUUUUAAAAGAUUUACAGGGUAAUGGCAUACUACAACAACAGAAUUCCAAGUCAUGAAACAGAUUCACAUGAAUAAAUCGAGGGACCAACAAUUUUAAUCAUUAAAAUGAAAACAGAAUACAAGGGGUUUCAAACUUAUCUAAUCAAACAGCAACAAAAUGACUGAAACAAGCUAAAUGAAAAGCCGAAAACAAUUGUGACAGUGAGAGCUCGGUCAAUUCCUCGGCAACAGCAGAAACACCAUGAUUUCCAACCUCAGUUUGAACACCCAGAGAUAUCAACUUCAAUUUUUGAACUAGAGUUCUACAACUUACACAUGGUUCAAGGAAUGAUGUAUUGAAAGAGAUGUAUUGUUGUUGGAUCGAAGCAUGGUAAAAAUGAAAAAAAAAACACAUUUAUCUAAUAGCAUUGAAGCCAUGGGCAAGAAGGUAAUGGACUUGAGGCUCACUACAUUAGGGGAAUUGGCAGCUGUUUGAGCAAGCUAUUGUCACCAAAUGCUCAUUUGAGGAUAUCGCUAAUAUUGAAAGGUUCUCUUAUCAUUUUGAAGCUAUUGCCUUAAGGUAAGCUAAUGGACAACAAAGGGGAAUGAAGGCUUAAAGCCAGAAAAAUAUAGAGGUUGAUAAUUUGAGCAUAUCAAUAUUGAAAGAAUUGCUUGAGCACUUAACAUAUGACUGUACCGAAGAAAAGUAAUCACAUGUAGGAGGUUUACUUGAAAAGUUAAUCAUAAGCAAAUUCACUAAAUAAGAAGCUUUAACCUAUUUCUGAUGUCAUCGUAUCUUGCCUUAUUUUAAUCACGUUGUCAAAUUUUUAUAGUACAAGCAUUACGGUGCCACUGAUAUGGGAUCCGAAGGAGGAAUUCACAUACUUUAGCAGGGCAACGUAAGUUGAGAACUACAACAUAAAAGAUGCUUCAUCAUUUGAGAAUACUAAAUGCUUCCUUUA